Non-coding RNA from Tachysurus fulvidraco (yellow catfish), 1319 nucleotides. NCBI's taxonomy places the organism in Eukaryota, Metazoa, Chordata, Actinopteri, Siluriformes, Bagridae. The record is from the annotation of a RefSeq genome assembly.
UGUUUUUGACAAGGAUUCAUGAAACUAUGAAAUCUAACAGCUGAAGUGUGUUUAUGCAAAUUCACCCUGUUAUUAAAAAAAGCCUCUUGCAGUUUGAAGUUUGUGUCACACGACUGAAUCAAAGAGCAUGAUGAUGGGGCUGAGGGUCACUCAGUACUACAUCUUUGUUAUAAUGUUAACCAAAGGUGUCAGCAGUGAUGAGAUCAGACUGGACCAGUCUCCUGCUGUUGUAAAGAGACCUGGAGAAACUGUGAAGAUCUCCUGUAAGAUACACGGAUAUUCAAUGACAAGCAGCUACAUACACUGGAUCAGACAGAAAACAGGGAAAGCUCUGGAAUGGCUUGGCUGGAUGAGUACAGGUAAUAAUGCAGCAAUAUAUGCAGAGUCUGUGAAGAACCAGCUCACUUUAACAGAAGACGUCUCAGCAAGCACACAGUACUUAGAGGCCAAGAGUCUGAGGACAGAGGACACUGCGGUUUAUUACUGCGCCCGAGACCCAACAGUGACUGAAGCUGAGGAAGCAGCUGUACUAAAACCAGACACACAUUGUAACUGAACUAACUGAAGUUGCUUAAAUUAUAAUUGUAAGACAGAUGAACACGGUUUGUAUCUAUUUAUUGCUCCAAUUAUCUAUACUGUAAAUGUACCUGGAUAUAACCCUAAAGUGGGCGUGGCCUAAAAUAAUUAUCAGGAAUGAAAAUCUAGAUAAACCCUGUUUCUAUGAUCCUGGAAACACUUGAAAGCCACAGGUAGAAAUGGCAGCUCUGUCAGCAUGCUGUGUGACAUCCCAUUCCCAAUACACACUGUAAUACACACAUCAUAGUGUGAUUACACAAUGUAAUACACACAUCACAGUCACAAUACACACUGUAAUACACACAUCACAGUCACAAUACACACAUCACAGUCACAAUACACAUUGUAAUACACACAUCCCAGUCCCAAUAUACACUGUAUUACACAGAUCACAGUCACAAUACACACUGCAACACACAACUCAGUCUCCCAUCCCAGUCAUCCCGUUCCCAAUUUAACUCAUUGGAUGGAUGAUUGAUUUUUUUGGAUUCUGCAAAAAUGAUUCAUAUUUAACAACAAUAUUCUGUGUAUUUUAGGAAUUCUACAGUUUGACUCACUUUGACUCACAGUUUGACUCACUUAUUUUUAUGCAUUUAUGUGUAUCACAGUGCAAAUAAAAUUCAAACCCAAGCAGCAGAAGUGUUAGGGAGCGUUAACUAAUACUACAAACAGAACAGUUUGUGACCUGACAAUGUGAAACUUACAGUCAUUUAUUUUAACUUACAGUUAUUUUAAUGUUACAA